GACGAACGCUGGCGGCGUGCUUAACACAUGCAAGUCGAACGGAAAGGCCCUGCUUUUGUGGGGUGCUCGAGUGGCGAACGGGUGAGUAACACGUGAGUAACCUGCCCUUGACUUUGGGAUAACUUCAGGAAACUGGGGCUAAUACCGGAUAGGAGCUCCUGCUGCACGGUGGGGGUUGGAAAGAUUCGGCGGUUGGGGAUGGACUCGCGGCUUAUCAGCUUGUUGGUGGGGUAGUGGCUUACCAAGGCUUUGACGGGUAGCCGGCCUGAGAGGGUGACCGGCCACAUUGGGACUGAGGUACGGCCCAGAAUCCUACGGGAGGCAGCAGUGGGAAAUAUUGCACAAUGGGCGGAAGCCUGAUGCAGCAACGCCGCGUGCGGGAUGACGGCCUUCGGGUUGUAAACCACUUUCGCCUGUGACGAAGCGUGAGUGACGGUAAUGGGUAAAGAAGCACCGGCUAACUACGUG
RNAcentral lists this ribosomal RNA (468 nucleotides) under uncultured bacterium. RNAcentral describes it as "partial 16S ribosomal RNA". It matches the Rfam family "Bacterial small subunit ribosomal RNA", at positions 28 to 507 of the family's 1533-position model. The record is from RNAcentral.